CCUACGGGUGGCUGCAGUGGGGAAUAUUGGACAAUGGGCGAAAGCCUGAUCCAGCCAUGCCGCGUGUGUGAAGAAGGCCUUCGGGUUGUAAAGCACUUUCAGUGGGGAAGAAAGCCUUGGGGCUAAUACCCUCGAGGAAGGACAUCACCCACAGAAGAAGCACCGGCAACUCCGUGCCAGCAGCCGCGGUAAUACGGAGGGUGCGAGCGUUAAUCGGAAUUACUGGGCGUAAAGCGCGCGUAGGCGGUCUGAUAAGCCGGUUGUGAAAGCCCCGGGCUCAACCUGGGAACGGCAUCCGGAACUGUCAGGCUAGAGUGCAGGAGAGGAAGGUAGAAUUCCCGGUGUAGCGGUGAAAUGCGUAGAGAUCGGGAGGAAUACCAGUGGCGAAGGCGGCCUUCUGGACUGACACUGACGCUGAGGUGCGAAAGCGUGGGUAGCAAACAGGAUUAGAUACCCCAGUAGUC
RNAcentral lists this ribosomal RNA (464 nucleotides) under Vreelandella stevensii. RNAcentral's name for it is "partial 16S ribosomal RNA". It matches the Rfam family "Bacterial small subunit ribosomal RNA", at positions 338 to 795 of the family's 1533-position model. Lineage: Bacteria; Pseudomonadati; Pseudomonadota; Gammaproteobacteria; Oceanospirillales; Halomonadaceae. The record is from RNAcentral.